UACGUAGGGUGCAAGCGUUGUCCGGAAUUAUUGGGCGUAAAGAGCUCGUAGGCGGUCUGUCGCGUCGGCUGUGAAAACUCGGGGCUCAACCGCGGGCCUGCAGCCGAUACGGGCAGGCUAGAGUUCGGUAGGGGAGACUGGAAUUCCUGGUGUAGCGGUGAAAUGCGCAGAUAUCAGGAGGAACACCGAUGGCGAAGGCAGGUCUCUGGGCCGAUACUGACGCUGAGGAGCGAAAGCGUGGGGAGCGAACAGG
This 253-nucleotide ribosomal RNA is filed under the name uncultured bacterium. RNAcentral describes it as "partial 16S ribosomal RNA". It matches the Rfam family "Bacterial small subunit ribosomal RNA", at positions 524 to 776 of the family's 1533-position model. The record is from RNAcentral.